AUUUGCCUAAUGAAGGGAAAUAUAACUUAAUUAUAUUUUUAGAGAGUUACUGGUUGGUGCAAAGUAAUAAUUAAUAAGUUUAGUCCAUCCCAGAAGGAAAGUUUAAUAACUUCGUUAACUGUCGUUAAAGUUAUUUAAGUGGUGUUUAUAAAAAAACACAAUUAGGGUGGCAACACGGAAACAAUCGUCCCUUGG
Molecule: non-coding RNA, 195 nt
Filed under: Bacillota bacterium
Lineage: Bacteria; Bacillati; Bacillota
Description: Firmicutes bacterium T-box sequence
Rfam family: T-box leader
About the family: Uncharged tRNA acts as the effector for transcription antitermination of genes in the T-box leader family. T-boxes are found upstream of many aminoacyl-tRNA synthetase genes and some amino acid biosynthetic genes usually in Gram-positive bacteria.
Source: RNAcentral